Molecule: ribosomal RNA, 254 nt
Filed under: uncultured bacterium
Lineage: Bacteria
Description: partial 16S ribosomal RNA
Rfam family: Bacterial small subunit ribosomal RNA
Source: RNAcentral
UACAGAGGUCUCAAGCGUUGUUCGGAUUCAUUGGGCGUAAAGCGCGCGCAGGCGGUCCUUUUAAGUCUGAUGUGAAAGCCCACGGCUCAACCGUGGAGGGUCAUUGGAAACUGGGGGACUUGAGUGCAGAAGAGGAGAGUGGAAUUCCACGUGUAGCGGUGAAAUGCGUAGAGAUGUGGAGGAACACCAGUGGCGAAGGCGACUCUCUGGUCUGUAACUGACGCUGAGGCGCGAAAGCGUGGGGAGCGAACAGG